Molecule: non-coding RNA, 135 nt
Organism: Hordeum vulgare subsp. vulgare (domesticated barley)
Lineage: Eukaryota; Viridiplantae; Streptophyta; Magnoliopsida; Poales; Poaceae
Source: Rfam
CUCAUACUCCCUCCGUCCCAAAAUUCUUGUCUUAUAUCUGUUUAGAUAUGAAUGUAUCUAGUCAUGUUUUAGUAUUUUGAUACAUUUAAUUUUAGAAAACCUAAGACAAAAAAUUUAAGACGGAGGGAGUAUUUA